AGUGAAGCGGGAAGAGCUCAAAUUUGAAAUCUGGUGGCCUCAGGUCAUCCGAGUUGUAAUCUAUAGAAGUGUUUUCCGUGCUGGCUCAUGUACAAGUCCCUUGGAACAGGGCGUCAUAGAGGGUGAGAAUCCCGUCCUUGACAUGAACUACCAGUGCUCUGUGAUACAUUUUCAACGAGUCGAGUUGUUUGGGAAUGCAGCUCAAAAUGGGUGGUAAAUUCCAUCUAAAGCUAAAUAUUGGCGAGAGACCGAUAGCGAACAAGUACCGUGAGGGAAAGAUGAAAAGCACUUUGGAAAGAGAGUUAAACAGUAUGUGAAAUUGUUGAAAGGGAAACGAUUGAAGUCAGUCGUGCUCUUUGGAUUCAGCCGGUUCUGCCGGUGUACUUCCUUUGAGUGGGGUCAACAUCAGUUUUGAUCGCUGGAUAAAGGCUGGAGGAACGUAGUACCCUCGGGUAAACUUAUAGCCUCCUGUCACAUACAGUGGUUGGGACUGAGGAACGCAGCACGCCUUUAUGGCCGGGAUUCGUCCACGUACGUGCUUAGGAUGUUGACAUAAUGGCUUUAAACGACCCGUCUU
RNAcentral lists this ribosomal RNA (577 nucleotides) under Filobasidium elegans. RNAcentral describes it as "eukaryotic LSU rRNA". It matches the Rfam family "Eukaryotic large subunit ribosomal RNA", at positions 92 to 655 of the family's 3401-position model. The record is from RNAcentral. Lineage: Eukaryota; Fungi; Basidiomycota; Tremellomycetes; Filobasidiales; Filobasidiaceae.